Molecule: ribosomal RNA, 636 nt
Filed under: uncultured organism
Description: bacterial SSU rRNA
Rfam family: Bacterial small subunit ribosomal RNA
Source: RNAcentral
GGGACAGUCCGGGGAAACCCGGUUUAAUACCAGAUGUGGCCGCUCUUCUGCCUGGAAGAGCGAUUAAAGGACUUGGGUCGCUUAGGGAGCGGCUUACGACCUAUCAGGUAGUUGGUGAGGUAACGGCUCACCAAGCCUACGACGGGUAGCGGGUCUGAGAGGAUGAUCCGCGCGAGUGGGACUGAGACACGGCCCACACACCUACGGGUGGCAGCAGUUUGGAAUAUUGCACAAUGGGGGAAACCCUGAUGCAGCGACGCCGCGUGGGGGAUGACGGAUUUCGGUCUGUAAACCCCUUUUGCCAGGAAAGACUUAGGACGGUACCUGGCGAAUAAGCCCCGGCUAACUACGUGCCAGCAGCCGCGGUAAUACGUAGGGGGCAAGCGUUGUCCGGAUUUACUGGGCGUAAAGGGCGCGCAGGCGGCCUGUUAAGUGUGAAGUGAAAUCUCCUGGCUCAACCAGGAAAUUGCUUUGCAUACUGGCAGGCUAGAGAAAAGGCAGAGGUAGAUGGAAUUCCCGGUGUAGCGGUGACAUGCGUUGAUAUCGGGAGGAACACCAAUGGCGAAGGCAGUCUACUGGGCCUCUUCUGACGCUCAGGCGCGAAAGCGUGGGUAGCAAACAGGAUUAGAUACCCUG